AUGAACGUUAGCGGCGCGCCUGAUGCAUGCAAGUCGAACGAUCUGUUAAUCCGCAAGGAAUGACAGGUAGUGGCAAACGGCUGAGUAACAUGUAAGUAACAUAUCUCUAAGUGGGGAAUAACCUGCCGAAAGGCAAGCUAAUACCGCAUGUGGUGCUAUACGAUAGUUUAUCACUAAAGCUUUCGGGCGCUUGGAGAGUGGCUUGCAUCUGAUUAGCUAGUUGGUAGGGUAAUGGCCUACCAAGGCGAUGAUCAGUAGCUGGUCUGAGAGGACGACCAGCCAGACAGGGACUGAGACACGGCCCUGACUCCUACGGGAGGCAGCAGCAAGGAAUUUUGCGCAAUGGGCGAAAGCCUGACGCAGCGACGCCGCGUGGGGGACGAAGACCUUCGGGUUGUAAACCCCUUUUCCUGGGGAAGAAUUAUGACGGUACCCAGGGAAUAAGUCUUGGCUAACUACGU
This 461-nucleotide ribosomal RNA is filed under the name uncultured bacterium. RNAcentral describes it as "bacterial SSU rRNA". It matches the Rfam family "Bacterial small subunit ribosomal RNA", at positions 29 to 506 of the family's 1533-position model. The record is from RNAcentral.